GAGAGGAGCGCCCAGUUGCCGGUAGGGAAGGAAGACGCGGCACGUGACUUGGGACGCACGCAGGCCGGCGGGGCGGGGCGGGAAGUGCGCUUAGUGCCGGCGCUAGGCGGCUCUUCCCAUCUCUUAGUGGCGGCUGGGUCCCAUCAAGUGUCUUUUCAGAUCAAGAGGAACUGUACUCAAGGGGCUGUAUUUAAGGAACUGUACCCAAGAAGUUCAUCCAUACCUGGACCUCAAGCCUGAGCCUGAUAGUUUUGUGGGUAUUGGGGGAGGGAAUAAGUAUAUAUAUUUUUUGCAUGUGGAGGCAUGUGGACUCCUGUGACCAGAAGGUGGACUGUAGCAUAUGGUAUUUUUGCAUACUGGUUUCAACAGUAUUUGUGGUCGUCCAUGUUCUGCUAGAACCAUGCCACUUAGAGACUGAGUAUUUCCUCCUCUUGAACUUGGGCUGGCCUUUGAACUGAUUAAUAGAAUGUGGAGGAGCUGAUACUGUAUGACUUAGGCUGGAUCAUAAUAGGUGGUACUGUUUUUGGCUGACUCAGGACGCUUACCUUUGGAACCUAGCCACCAUACAGAAGCUAUUUGAAACUAGCCAGGGUUUCAUCUGACUGCAUCAGCCACCAAAUGUGUUAGUGAAUUAGCCUUUUUUAAUUUCAGCCCCCAGCCUUUGAGCCACCCCAGUUGAUACUGAGUGGAGCAGAGACAAGCUAUCUCCUCUGAAACCUGUUUAAAUUGCACAUUCAUGGGCAAAAGUGAGACAUAAUGAAGCCUGCUGGUGGGAGAAACCUGGCUCCACUCUGGGGCAUCUAAGGAUACACAGCUGCACAGUGAUGGAAAUAUUGUGUAAU
Lutra lutra (Eurasian river otter) is the source of this 842-nucleotide long non-coding RNA. RefSeq lists it as uncharacterized. The transcript is spliced from 3 exons. Lineage: Eukaryota; Metazoa; Chordata; Mammalia; Carnivora; Mustelidae. The record is from RefSeq and is a predicted model, not a curated record.